RNAcentral lists this small RNA (102 nucleotides) under Hafnia paralvei. RNAcentral describes it as "tp2". It matches the Rfam family "tp2", at positions 1 to 99 of the family's 114-position model. The record is from RNAcentral. Lineage: Bacteria; Pseudomonadati; Pseudomonadota; Gammaproteobacteria; Enterobacterales; Hafniaceae.
GGUAUUCCUUAUCUGUCUAAUGGUUUGUCAGGAGCCUGUCUUCGUGUGUUUUCUUCAUGUAGGAAAAAACACGAAGACAGGCCCAAUCAGGGUUUAGUUGCC